RNAcentral lists this ribosomal RNA (253 nucleotides) under uncultured bacterium. RNAcentral's name for it is "partial 16S ribosomal RNA". It matches the Rfam family "Bacterial small subunit ribosomal RNA", at positions 524 to 776 of the family's 1533-position model. The record is from RNAcentral.
UACGUAGGUGGCGAGCGUUGUCCGGAUUUACUGGGCGUAAAGGGAGCGUAGGCGGAUUUUUAAGUGAGAUGUGAAAUACUCGGGCUCAACUUGAGUGCUGCAUUUCAAACUGGAAGUCUAGAGUGCAGGAGAGGAGAAUGGAAUUCCUAGUGUAGCGGUGAAAUGCGUAGAUAUAUGGAGGAACACCAGUGGCGAAGGCGGCUUCCUGGUCUGCAACUGACACUGAGGCGCGAAAGCGUGGGGAGCAAACAGG